This 253-nucleotide ribosomal RNA is filed under the name uncultured bacterium. RNAcentral describes it as "partial 16S ribosomal RNA". It matches the Rfam family "Bacterial small subunit ribosomal RNA", at positions 524 to 776 of the family's 1533-position model. The record is from RNAcentral.
UACGGGGGGGGCUAGCGUUGUUCGGAAUUACUGGGCGUAAAGCGCGCGUAGGCGGUCAUGCAAGUCAGGGGUGAAAUCCCAGAGCUUAACUCUGGAACUGCCUUUGAAACUGCAUGGCUAGAAUGUGAGAGGGGAUAGCGGAAUUCCUAAUGUAGAGGUGAAAUUCGUAGAUAUUAGGAGGAACACCGGUGGCGAAGGCGGCUAUCUGGCUCACUAUUGACGCUCUGGCGCGAAAGCGUGGGGAUCAAACAGG